Molecule: small nuclear RNA, 225 nt
Filed under: Mustela putorius furo (domestic ferret)
Lineage: Eukaryota; Metazoa; Chordata; Mammalia; Carnivora; Mustelidae
Description: 7SK RNA (ENSMPUG00000021874.1)
Rfam family: 7SK RNA (bases 1-183)
About the family: 7SK was discovered as an abundant small nuclear RNA in the mid-70s but a possible function has only recently been suggested. Two independent studies have found that 7SK RNA binds the CDK9/cyclin T complex (known as elongation factor P-TEFb).
Source: RNAcentral
GGAUGCUGAGAGCAGUCUGGUUGUGACAUCUGUUACCUGUUGGUCUUGAGGACUGAUUUCACUGGCUAUGCAGGUGGCCUCUUCUCAUGACUACAUGUUCAUCUUUCCUGAAAUUUUGCCCUUAGCUGAUGGAGAUGACCUAUUUAGAUAAUAGAAGGCCAUUCUUUAUUCAAGGUAUCUGAAAUAUAAUCUUAUCCACCAAGAUACAUAAUUGUAUAGUUUUCU